Symphalangus syndactylus (siamang) is the source of this 1302-nucleotide long non-coding RNA. RefSeq lists it as uncharacterized. NCBI's taxonomy places the organism in Eukaryota, Metazoa, Chordata, Mammalia, Primates, Hylobatidae. The record is from RefSeq and is a predicted model, not a curated record.
GCUGGAGACUGUGGGGUUAAGAGCUGCACCCUUGCUGCCUGGGAGUCCCUUGGAUUCCAGCAUUGACUUUAUAAUUAACCACUUUAAGGAUUCCCCUGAACUUCCUUUCUCAGUAUAACCAGGAAAAGAAGUUAAGAGAUUUUGAAAAGUGACUCUUGGGGCACAAAACUGCAUGAGAGACAGAACCCUGCAAAGUGAAUUGCCCCGUAUUUCUCAGGAACUGCAACGUAGUCAGCAACCAGACUCUAAUCAGCUAAGACAGGGCUCUGCUGUUCUGUCUACAUUUUAGUUAGCUCCAGGGCUGGGGAGAGAGGGUUGUGGGCUCAUCUGUUCACGAGGGCAAAAGGGUGGAAGUGAGUAGGAGACAUGCAUCUCGUUAAGCAGGACAUCUGUUUCAGAGAAGUGGGGCGAGUUUGGGAACUGUGCAAGAACAUAAAGGCAAGGAAGACUCCUGAAGCAUCGCUAAGGUGGAUCAAAUUUUCUUUCUAUCCGCCAAAAUAAAUGGACUGGUUUUUGCAGUGGAAGUGAUUGAACCAAAAAUACAGCUCAUGGCUUACAAUUGUGCUUUCUUCUCUGUUUUUCGGUUGGAAUGAUUGCUUACUGUACAUGGAUCCAAUUCCAGCAGUUACAGAGCCUUUGGGAGGCAAUUGUGCCAUGAGAAGAGCCCUCAUGAAUGGGAUUAGUUCCCUUAUAAGAAGAGACACCAAAGAAGUGAUCUUUCUCUCCCUCUGCUACGUGAAGACACGGUCAUCUGCAGUUUUUUGUUGUUGUCGUUGAUGAUCUUCCUGUCAUAGACAAUGCUGUAACAAACAGACUAACAGAGUCUUGCUCUGUCACUUGGGCUGAAGUGCAGCGGCAUGAUCUCGGCUCACUGCAACCUCCGCCUCCCAGGUUCAAGCGAUUCUCCUGCCUCAGUCUCCAGAGUAGCUGGAAUUACAGGCAUGCACCACCAUGCCUGGAGGUAUUCCUGGAAAGAUAUUCGACAAGCAGGGAAGACUGGUUGCCUCUGGAUAAGGAAAAUGCCAGGAGAUAAUAAGCUCACUUCACCUCAGGACCUUUGCAGCAGCUCUACCCUGUGCUUAGAUUGAUCUGUCACAGAAACUUAAAGUCCAGCUGAUUCUCAUUCUUCAGAUUCCAGGUAAAAUAUCACUCCCUCAGAAAGGUUUCCCUUCCCACCCAAUCAGAAGUCACAACCCUGUCACAUAACUUUGUUUAAAUUAUCUGUAACUCACUCACCGUCAUCUGAUAUAUUUAUUUUCUAGUUCUUUUUAUUUGUUCAUUCAUUCAUUUAUUUAAAAAAUU